Molecule: ribosomal RNA, 521 nt
Filed under: uncultured Streptococcus sp.
Lineage: Bacteria; Bacillati; Bacillota; Bacilli; Lactobacillales; Streptococcaceae
Description: bacterial SSU rRNA
Rfam family: Bacterial small subunit ribosomal RNA
Source: RNAcentral
GACGAACGCUGGCGGCGUGCCCUAAAUACAUGCAAGUAGAACGCUGAGGUUUGGUGUUUUACACUAGACUGAUGAGUUGCGAAACGGGUGAGUAACGCCGUAGGUAACCUGCCUCAUAGCGGGGAUAACUAUUGGAACGAUAGCUAAUACCGCAUAAGAGUAAUUAACACAUGUUGGUUAUUAAAAAGGAGCAAAUUGCUUCACUGUGAGAUGGACUGCGUUGUAUUAGCUAGUUGGGUGAGGUAAAGGCUCACCAAGGCGACGAUACAUAGCCGACCCUGAGAGGGGUGAUCGGCCACACUGGGACUGAGACACGGCCCAGACUCCUACGGGAGGCAGCAGUAGGGAAUCUUCGGCAAUGGACGGAAGUCUGACCGAGCAACGCCGCGUGAGUGAAGAAGGUUUUCGGAUCGUAAAAGCUCUGUUGUUAGAGAAGAACGUUGGUAGGAGUGGAAAAUCUACCAAGUGACGGUAACUAACCAGAAAGGGACGGCUAACUACGUGCCAGCAGCCGCGGUAAU